This 459-nucleotide ribosomal RNA is filed under the name uncultured bacterium. Its description in RNAcentral is "partial 16S ribosomal RNA". It matches the Rfam family "Bacterial small subunit ribosomal RNA", at positions 338 to 795 of the family's 1533-position model. The record is from RNAcentral.
CCUACGGGUGGCAGCAGUGAGGAAUAUUGGUCAAUGGGCGCGAGCCUGAACCAGCCAAGUCGCGUGAGGGAAGAAGGUGCCAAGCAUUGUAAACUUCUUUUGUCAAGGGACAAAAUCAGGCUCGAGAGCCUGACCGAGGGUACUUGAAGAAAAAGCAUCGGCUAACUCCGUGCCAGCAGCCGCGGUAAUACGGAGGAUGCGAGCGUUAUCCGGAUUUAUUGGGUUUAAAGGGUGCGCAGGCGGUCUGUUAAGUCAGCGGUCAAAGCCCGGGGCUCAACCCCGGCCCGCCGUUGAAACUGGCAGUCUCGAGUUGGAGAGAAGUAUGCGGAAUGCGCGGUGUAGCGGUGAAAUGCAUAGAUAUCGCGCAGAACUCCGAUUGCGAAGGCAGCAUGCCGGCUCCACACUGACGCUGAGGCACGAAAGCGUGGGUAUCGAACAGGAUUAAAUACCCCAGUAGUC